RNAcentral lists this small nucleolar RNA (181 nucleotides) under Huiozyma naganishii CBS 8797. RNAcentral describes it as "Kazachstania naganishii CBS 8797 Small nucleolar RNA snR161". It matches the Rfam family "Small nucleolar RNA snR161". Lineage: Eukaryota; Fungi; Ascomycota; Saccharomycetes; Saccharomycetales; Saccharomycetaceae. The record is from Rfam by way of RNAcentral.
UUAACUUUAAACCCCAGUAUCAUUGGCUGUUCGUAUUUUCUCCAACAUAUGUACAGUCUCAAAUACACUGGCAGAGUUAUAUGGUGAACGACUUAAGUUCUGCUAUGAGAUUUAGAAAACGUUCUUCCCGUCUUCGGGAAGAAAAAUCAUGUCACCUAGCCCUAUUGUCAUUCAUAAAUCU